Long non-coding RNA from Rosa chinensis, 452 nucleotides. RefSeq lists it as uncharacterized. The transcript is spliced from 4 exons. The record is from RefSeq and is a predicted model, not a curated record. Lineage: Eukaryota; Viridiplantae; Streptophyta; Magnoliopsida; Rosales; Rosaceae.
AACCUACGGUUCAACCUCAAGCAAAUGGAACAGGUUGGGAAUUGGCACUUGUUACAGCCCCAAGCUCAAAUGAGAGUGCCACAGCUACUAGCAAACUGGUGUGCAGGAGUUUACGGUUGUGAUAUUGGGUUUGUGAUCAACAAGGAGAGGGAGACGAAAUUUUAAAUUACGUUGAAGAGAGCAGGAGAGCUGCAGGUUUGCAACAGGAGGGAGAGUGGGUGCUUAAGGGUGGCCAACAUAAUCUUUAUAGAUGCACCAGUUGGUGCUGGGUUUUCAUACUCUACAACCUCGGAAGGGUACUAUACUUCCGAUACAAAAUCAGCUGCACAGACCUAUACUUUCUUAAGAAAGGGAAGGAGAAAAGAAUCACAAUGGUUAUAUGCACACCCAAGGUUUUAGGGAAAUCAACUGUACAUUGGUGGUGACUCAUAUUCAGGACUUAUUGUUCCCAU